CUCACCACUUAACUAUCUCAACUCUCUCUUUCUUCUACCGAGGCAAGCACCAAGAGGGUGCAACCCCGUGAACCACCACCACUUGCUGUCUCUGGCGAGCCAAACCUUCACCUGCUACCAAAUCUCGCCACGUCGAUGAAGGUUAUCCACGUUCCAGCCCAGAACUAGAAACACAGUUACAAAAUCGAAACCAAACCUCGACCUCCAUGCUUUCCGGUGAGGCAUCACUAUCUUCCGACCAAGAUCAAUUCGAGGGGAAUCUCCCUAGUUUUCUGGUGAAAGACCCACGAGUUGCAAGAGUCUUCCUGCCGUUUUCCGGCCACGGCAAAGACCCAAAAUGGUAAAACACAUCGCAAGGAUCUUGAUGCCCGUGAGGUGGGUUCGACUCGAUAACAUGAUUUGUGAGUGGGUCUUUAUAUAUAUAGGUUAGUUUCCAUAUAUACAAUUUUUAAUAAAUUCUCUACGUGAUUGCCAUGAUUAAACUAACGCUUAUAAGAAAUGCCUUAUCGUUGGGAAAUGAUGAAAUAAUAAUGUGGGAUGCACAUGUAAGCUUAUUAUUAA
This 561-nucleotide small RNA is filed under the name Malus domestica (apple). RNAcentral's name for it is "sRNA MD17G0215200". The record is from RNAcentral. Lineage: Eukaryota; Viridiplantae; Streptophyta; Magnoliopsida; Rosales; Rosaceae.